Daldinia bambusicola is the source of this 105-nucleotide non-coding RNA. The record is from the annotation of a GenBank genome assembly. Lineage: Eukaryota; Fungi; Ascomycota; Sordariomycetes; Xylariales; Hypoxylaceae.
GUCUUGGUGGCGCAGUUGGCUAGCGCGUUGGUCUCAUAUCAUUGAUAUGAUCCAACCCCAGGUUGGGCUAUCCAAAGGUCGUGAGUUCAAGCCUCACCCAGGACA